ACACCGCAUGAUGUUCAUGUAAAAGACGGCUUUUGCUGUCACUUUUGGAUGGGCCUGCGGCGUAUUAACUUGUUGGUGGGGUAACGGCCUACCAAGGUGAUGAUACGUAGCCGAACUGAGAGGUUGAUCGGCCACAUUGGGACUGAGACACGGCCCAAACUCCUACGGGAGGCAGCAGUAGGGAAUCUUCCACAAUGGACGAAAGUCUGAUGGAGCAACGCCGCGUGAAUGAAGAAGGCCUUCGGGUCGUAAAAUUCUGUUGUCAGAGAAGAACGUGCGUGAGAGUAACUGUUCACGUAUUGACGGUAUCUGACCAGAAAGCCACGGCUAACUACGUGCCAGCAGCCGCGGUAAUACGUAGGUGGCGAGCGUUGUCCGGAUUUAUUGGGCGUAAAGGGAACGCAGGCGGUCUUUUAAGUCUGAUGUGAAAGCCUUCGGCUUAACCGAAGUAGUGCAUUGGAAACUGGAAGACUUGAGUGCAGAAGAGGAGAGUGGAACUCCAUGUGU
Molecule: ribosomal RNA, 507 nt
Filed under: bacterium La3
Lineage: Bacteria
Description: bacterial SSU rRNA
Rfam family: Bacterial small subunit ribosomal RNA
Source: RNAcentral